Molecule: ribosomal RNA, 519 nt
Filed under: uncultured eukaryote
Lineage: Eukaryota
Description: SSU rRNA
Rfam family: Eukaryotic small subunit ribosomal RNA
Source: RNAcentral
AGGGCACCACCAGGAGUGGAGCCUGCGGCUUAAUUUGACUCAACACGGGAAAUCUCACCAGGCCCGGACACCGGAAGGAUUGACAGAUUGAGAGCUCUUUCUUGAUUCGGUGGGUGGUGGUGCAUGGCCGUUCUUAGUUGGUGGAGCGAUUUGUCUGGUUAAUUCCGAUAACGAACGAGACUCUGGCCUAUUAACUAGACGUUAGAUCCUUUAUGGGUUUGACGAUGCUUCUUAGAGGGACGGGCGGCUUUUAGCCGCACGAGAAUGAGCAAUAACGGGUCUGUGAUGCCCUUAGAUGUUCUGGGCUGCACGCGCGCUACACUGAAGAAAUCAGCGUGUGUUCCCUAUCCGAAAGGAUUGGGAAACCCGUUGAACCCUCUUCGUGAUGGGGAUUGGGGAUUGCAAUUAUUCCCCAUGAACGAGGAAUUCCCAGUAGGCGCGAGUCAUAAGCUUGCGUCGAUUACGUCCCUGCCCUUUGUACACACCGCCCGUCGCUACUACCGAUUGAGUGAUUUAGUG